Molecule: ribosomal RNA, 478 nt
Filed under: uncultured bacterium
Lineage: Bacteria
Description: bacterial SSU rRNA
Rfam family: Bacterial small subunit ribosomal RNA
Source: RNAcentral
GACGAACGCUGGCGGCGUGCCUAACACAUGCAAGUCGAACGAGGUCCAUCCUUCGGGAGAAGACCUAGUGGCGAACGGGUGAGUAACACGUGAAGAACCUGCCCCGAAGACCGGGAUAACCCUCCGAAAGGAGAGCUAAUACUGGAUACCCCCACCGAACCGCAUGGUUUGGUGAGGAAAUGGAUUCCGCUUCGGGAGGGCUUCGCGGCCUAUCAGCUAGUUGGUGGGGUAACGGCCCACCAAGGCAUCGACGGGUAGCUGGUCUGAGAGGACGAUCAGCCACACUGGGACUGAGACACGGCCCAGACUCCUACGGGAGGCAGCAGUUGGGGAAUCUUGCGCAAUGGGCGAAAGCCUGACGCAGCAACGCCGCGUGGGGGAUGAAGGCUCUCGGGUUGUAAACCCUUUCAGCAGGGACGAAUCAAGACGGUACCUGCAGAAGAAGCCCGGCUAACUACGUGCCAGCAGCCGCGGUAAU